UACGUAGGUGGCAAGCGUUAUCCGGAAUUAUUGGGCGUAAAGCGCGCGCAGGCGGUUUUUUAAGUCUGAUGUGAAAGCCCACGGCUCAACCGUGGAGGGUCAUUGGAAACUGGGGAACUUGAGUGCAGAAGAGAAAAGCGGAAUUCCACGUGUAGCGGUGAAAUGCGUAGAGAUGUGGAGGAACACCAGUGGCGAAGGCGGCUUUUUGGUCUGUAACUGACGCUGAGGCGCGAAAGCGUGGGGAGCGAACAGG
RNAcentral lists this ribosomal RNA (253 nucleotides) under uncultured bacterium. RNAcentral's name for it is "partial 16S ribosomal RNA". It matches the Rfam family "Bacterial small subunit ribosomal RNA", at positions 524 to 776 of the family's 1533-position model. The record is from RNAcentral.